GUGGGGAAUGUUGGACAAUGGGCGAAAGCCUGAUCCAGCCAUGCCGCGUGUGUGAAGAAGGUCUUCGGAUUGUAAAGCACUUUAAGUUGGGAGGAAGGGCAGUAAGUUAAUACCUUGCUGUUUUGACGUUACCGACAGAAUAAGCACCGGCUAACUUCGUGCCAGCAGCCGCGGUAAUACGAAGGGUGCAAGCGUUAAUCGGCAUUACUGGGCGUAAAGCGCGCGUAGGUGGUUUUGUAAGUUGGAGGUGAAAUCCCCGGGCUCAACCUGGGAACUGCCUCCAAAACUGCAUGACUAGAGUACGGUAGAGGGUAGUGGAAUUUCCUGUGUAGCGGUGAAAUGCGUAGAUAUAGGAAGGAACACCAGUGGCGAAGGCGACUACCUGGACUGAUACUGACACUGAGGUGCGAAAGCGUGGGGAGCAAACAGGAUUAGAAACCCCGGUAGUCC
RNAcentral lists this ribosomal RNA (450 nucleotides) under uncultured bacterium. Its description in RNAcentral is "partial 16S ribosomal RNA". It matches the Rfam family "Bacterial small subunit ribosomal RNA", at positions 354 to 796 of the family's 1533-position model. The record is from RNAcentral.